RNAcentral lists this ribosomal RNA (423 nucleotides) under uncultured bacterium. RNAcentral describes it as "bacterial SSU rRNA". It matches the Rfam family "Bacterial small subunit ribosomal RNA", at positions 358 to 772 of the family's 1533-position model. The record is from RNAcentral.
GGAAUUGUUCGCAAUGGGCGCAAGCCUGACGACGCAACGCCGCGUGGAGGACGAAGAUCUUCGGGUCGUAAACUCCUGUCGAGCGGGACGAAACCCGCGGGGACGAAUAAUCCCUGCGGCUGACGGUACCGCUAAAGGAAGCCCCGGCUAACUCCGUGCCAGCAGCCGCGGUAAUACGGGGGGGGCAAGCGUUGUUCGGAAUUACUGGGCGUAAAGGGCUCGUAGGCGGCCGACUAAGUCGGAUGUGAAAUCCCCAGGCUCAACCUGGGAACUGCAUCCGAUACUGGCCGGCCUGAAUCCGGGAGAGGGAUGCGGAAUUCCAGGUGUAGCGGUGAAAUGCGUAGAUAUCUGGAGGAACACCGGUGGCGAAGGCGGCAUCCUGGACCGGCAUUGACGCUGAGGAGCGAAAGCCAGGGGAGCAAA